This is a non-coding RNA of Kogia breviceps (pygmy sperm whale), 72 nucleotides long. NCBI's taxonomy places the organism in Eukaryota, Metazoa, Chordata, Mammalia, Artiodactyla, Physeteridae. The record is from the annotation of a RefSeq genome assembly.
UCCCUGUUGGUCCAGUGGUUAGGACUUGGCACUUUUGCUGCUGUGGCCCAGGUUCAAUCCCUGAUCAGGGAA